GAUGAACGCUGGCGGCGUGCCUAAUACAUGCAAGUCGAGCGAACAGACGAGGCGCUUGCUCCUUUGACGUUAGCGGCGGACGGGUGUGUAACACGUAGGUAACCUACCUAUAAUUCUGGGAUAACUUCGGGAAACCGGAGCUAAUCCCGGAUAAUAUUCUGCACCGCAUGGUUCGAUAGUGAAAGAUGGCGUUGCUGUCACUUCUCGCUGCACCUGCGCCGUAUUAGCUAGUUGGUAAGGUAACGGCUUACGAAGGCGACGAUACGUAGCCGACCUGAGAGAGUGGUCGGCCACACUGGAGCUGAGACACGGUCCAGACUCCUACGGGAGGCAGCAGUAGGGAAUCGUCCGCAAUGGGCGAAAGCCUGACAGAACAACGCCGAGUGAGUGAUGAAAGUCUUCGGAUCGUAAAAAUCUGUUAUUAGGGAAGAACAAACGUGUAAGUAACUGUGCACGUCUUGACGGUACCUAAUCAGAAAGCCACGGCUAACUACGUG
This 497-nucleotide ribosomal RNA is filed under the name uncultured bacterium. RNAcentral's name for it is "partial 16S ribosomal RNA". It matches the Rfam family "Bacterial small subunit ribosomal RNA", at positions 28 to 507 of the family's 1533-position model. The record is from RNAcentral.